UACGUAGGGUCCAAGCGUUAAUCGGAAUUACUGGGCGUAAAGCGUGCGCAGGCGGUUCGUUAAGUCAGCUGUGAAAUCCCCGGGCUUAACCUGGGAAUGGCAUUCGGGACUGCAAGGCUGGAGUGCGGCAGAGGAGACUGGAAUUCCUGGUGUAGCAGUGAAAUGCGUAGAUAUCAGGAGGAACACCGAUGGCGAAGGCAGGUCUCUGGGCUGACACUGACGCUCAUGCACGAAAGCGUGGGGAGCAAACAGG
Molecule: ribosomal RNA, 253 nt
Filed under: uncultured bacterium
Lineage: Bacteria
Description: partial 16S ribosomal RNA
Rfam family: Bacterial small subunit ribosomal RNA
Source: RNAcentral